Molecule: transfer RNA, 72 nt
Filed under: Bos taurus (domestic cattle)
Lineage: Eukaryota; Metazoa; Chordata; Mammalia; Artiodactyla; Bovidae
Also listed under: 5 other names
Rfam family: tRNA
About the family: Transfer RNA (tRNA) molecules are approximately 80 nucleotides in length. Their secondary structure includes four short double-helical elements and three loops (D, anti-codon, and T loops).
Source: Rfam by way of RNAcentral
UCCCUGGUGGCUCAAAUGGUAAAGAAUCUGCCUUUAACGCAGGAUACCAGGGUUCAAUCCCUAGAUUGGGAA